UACGUAGGGUGCAAGCGUUGUCCGGAUUCAUUGGGCGUAAAGAGCUCGUAGGCGGCUUGGCAAGUCGGGUGUGAAAACUCCAGGCUCAACCUGGAGACGCCACCCGAUACUGCCAUGGCUUGAGUCCGGUAGGGGACCACGGAAUUCCUGGUGUAGCGGUGAAAUGCGCAGAUAUCAGGAGGAACACCGGUGGCGAAGGCGGUGGUCUGGGCCGGUACUGACGCUGAGGAGCGAAAGCGUGGGGAGCGAACAGG
RNAcentral lists this ribosomal RNA (254 nucleotides) under uncultured bacterium. RNAcentral describes it as "partial 16S ribosomal RNA". It matches the Rfam family "Bacterial small subunit ribosomal RNA", at positions 524 to 776 of the family's 1533-position model. The record is from RNAcentral.